AAAUAUUAAACGUAUAACAUAUUGCGUAUGAACAACGUUAAUUAUU
Molecule: unclassified non-coding RNA, 46 nt
Filed under: Leishmania tarentolae
Lineage: Eukaryota; Euglenozoa; Kinetoplastea; Trypanosomatida; Trypanosomatidae
Description: guide RNA
Source: RNAcentral